UACGUAGGGGGCUAGCGUUGCUCGGAAUCAUUGGGCGUAAAGCGCACGUAGGCGGACUCUUAAGUCGGUGGUGAAAUCCUGGAGCUCAACUCCAGAACUGCCUUCGAUACUGAGAGUCUCGAGUCCGGGAGAGGUGAGUGGAACUGCGAGUGUAGAGGUGAAAUUCGUAGAUAUUCGCAAGAACACCAGUGGCGAAGGCGGCUCACUGGCCCGGUACUGACGCUGAGGUGCGAAAGCGUGGGGAGCAAACAGG
RNAcentral lists this ribosomal RNA (253 nucleotides) under uncultured bacterium. RNAcentral describes it as "partial 16S ribosomal RNA". It matches the Rfam family "Bacterial small subunit ribosomal RNA", at positions 524 to 776 of the family's 1533-position model. The record is from RNAcentral.